GGCUUCACUGUCAGAGCGACUCCUUUCGGCUCCUUGGCAACAUUGACGCUUGUUGAUGACAGACGCUACAACAUGUGCAGAUGACAGGCACACAACUGGACAUAUUUCAGCAAAUAAACCGAUAACAUGCGGGAAUUGAGUGUCAUUUAACUUCUCGAAGGAAUGUGUUUGGACCAUUAUAUCCAGUCAUCAGAAGCAGAGCUGUGGGACGUGUGGACAUACAUUGACUGUAAUGAUGGACGUCUCCUGAUGGACAGCAUAACCCCUGUGGCUGACUGUCCCAGAAGCUCCGGGGGGAGACCGUACUGGUAUCCCCCUCCUUUGGGCACGACACUCACACAACAUCCACUGGUAUUGCAGAGAUCUGACCGGGAUCAAACCAGCAACCUCUGAACCCGUGAGGCAGCGCUCUUACCUGUGAGCCACAGAUCUCUUGCUGAGACAUGUGCUGGAACUUAUAUUUCACUGUUAUCCCGAGAGUUUCCAAUAAAGCAGUUAAAGUGA
Molecule: long non-coding RNA, 504 nt
Organism: Pimephales promelas (fathead minnow)
Lineage: Eukaryota; Metazoa; Chordata; Actinopteri; Cypriniformes; Leuciscidae
Source: RefSeq, a predicted model, not a curated record